Molecule: ribosomal RNA, 470 nt
Filed under: uncultured bacterium
Lineage: Bacteria
Description: partial 16S ribosomal RNA
Rfam family: Bacterial small subunit ribosomal RNA
Source: RNAcentral
GACGAACGCUGGCGGCGUGCUUACCCCUUCCAAUUCGACCGGUAACGGGGGGGGCUUGCUCCCUCCGGUUAAUUGGCAACCGGUUGAUUAACCCUUAGGCAAUCUGCCCCGAACUCUGGGUUAACCUUUGGAAACACCUCCUAUUCCCGGUUCCGCCCCGGAGGGGCUUCCUCUCGCCUUGAAAGGAACUUCGGUUCGGGAUGAGCUCGCGGCCUAUCAGCUUGUUGGUGAGGUAACGGCUCACCAAGGCGACGACGGGUAGCCGGCCUGAGAGGGUGACCGGCCACACUGGGACUGAGACACGGCCCAGACUCCUACGGGAGGCAGCAGUGGGGAAUAUUGCACAAUGGGCGCAAGCCUGAUGCAGCAACGCCGCGUGAGGGACGACGGCCUUCGGGUUGUAAACCUCUUUUAGCAGGGAAGAAGCGAAAGUGACGGUACCUGCAGAAAAAGCACCGGCUAACUACGUG